Scomber japonicus (chub mackerel) is the source of this 318-nucleotide long non-coding RNA. RefSeq lists it as uncharacterized. The record is from RefSeq and is a predicted model, not a curated record. The transcript has 5 exons. Lineage: Eukaryota; Metazoa; Chordata; Actinopteri; Scombriformes; Scombridae.
GCAGAAAUCAGAGUCUCCAGUAUCCACCUGUGUGUCUGAACAUCAUCCUCCAGACGUCAUUCAUAAAGCUGGAUCCUCAGACUUAAAGGUGGAGGACAAACGGGACAGCGCUACACCUGCCACACAUAAAGGACCUGAUCCGUCCACAUCCAGCACAAAGGAUCAGCUGGAUCCUGAUGAUCCAGAGAGGCUGAAACAGCAGCAGCAGCAGCUUGAGUGCAGAGAGAAUGUGACUGGGAUCAGUUACCGGCAGGACUUCACACCCAAAGUGCUGACUGAGUCUGCAAACAUUUCAUACAGGUUCAGCUGUCCUGGUCC